CCAUGGGAGAAGAAAGAAAGCUCAGAUCUCCCCUUGCCUUCUGAUGUUUCUGAACAACUUGUCCAGACGAUUCUUGUAGGCAGCUACCUUCUCCUUCGAUCCACCAAACCAACAGCAGCAAAUCUGCUAGAAAAAUGGAUAAUCCUCAAUUUCAUACCCAGAUCACAGAUCUGUCAGCAGGAAAAGCAAAACGAAGAAGAAAGAAACCUGGGAUCAAACUGGUUCUGUAGUGUUCACUAGAGGUAUAUACAUAAAUUUGUACAAAAGGAAUUUAACGUACAUGGAUUACAGGGUAGCUGAUUGAAUUCAUAACACUAGCCUUGUAGCCUCAAAAUACUAGACUUGGACACACUUUAUAAAGAGCAAAAAAUGAUAUAUAAUCUAAAUGCUAAACUUGCAUGCUCAAAAAUGCUAAAAGUGCACAUUCAUCAUAGUAAAAUAUAACUACAGCAAAGAAAACUAAUCCACAAAAAAAGAACUUGCAUCAUCAUCAUGCUAUACUUGCGCACACUUUAUCAGAGCAAAAAAUAUAAAAAAACACUUGAAACAAAAAUGAUAAUACGAAAAAUGGAAACUACUGUAUGAAAGAAUCCAAUACUAAAUUUACAUGUGUACAAAAUGAUAAGCUAGUUUCAGGUUAACUGCAUGUAUAAACAUUCAUAAAAUUCAUAAUUUACAAGUAAAACUUGCACCCUCAAGAUAAUAGACUUGCACGUACUUUGUAAGAGCAAAAAUUCAUAGAGUCCAAUACUAAACUUGCAUGCUCCUCAUAGUACACUUGCACACCUUUUACAACAACAAGACUGAUAUUAACAUUCUGAUAUCAUAAUUUAGGGGUUACUGGAUUUAACCUACAUGGAUAACUGGAGGUAGAUACAUGGAGGUAGCAAAACUCAAUUCACAAAAAUAUAACUACAACAACAAAACUAAUACACAAAACCCAAAAUUUUCCAAAAAAGGAACUUGCAUCCUCAUCAUACUAGACUUGCACACGCUUCAUCAAAUCAAAAAAAAAAUCACAAAACCUUGAAACAAAAAUGAUAACAUGAAAGAUGGAAACUUGUAAAGUUAAAUGUGUACAAAAUGAUAACCUAGUUUGAGGUUAACUGCAAUUUGAGUGGUUAUACUAAAUAUUGAGUGGUUAUACUAAAGCAAACAAAAUGAUAAAAUGCAGACAUUUUAUGACAACUAUAACUACAACAAACAUAACUGCAUACACACACUGAAAAAAAAACAUUUGAGUGGUUAUACUAAAUCUUAGCACACUAUUAACAACAACAAGCAAUACAAAUUGUAUGAGUUGAUCCACAAAAUUCAAAAUUUACAAGUAAAACUUGUAUCCUCAUAAUACUAGACUUUCACACACUUUAUAAGAGCAACCUUCAUAUAAAAUCCAAAAACUAAACUUGCACAUUCAUUACAGUAAAAUUGCACACAUUUUACUACAGCAAGACUGACAUAAACCUUGUUGAUAUCGUAAUUUAGAGUUUUCUGGAGGGAGAUACAUUGAUUUAUACAAACAGCAUGUAACCUACAUGGAUUACAGGGAAGCUAACUCAAUUGACAACUAUAACUACAGCAACAGAACUAAUUCAUAAAAUUCAAAAAUUACAAAUGAAACUUGUAUCCUCAUAAAUAGUAGAGUUGCACUUAUUAAAAAGAGUAAAUUUAUAUAGAAAAACCAGCAAAAGUACAUGACAAAACAAAAUCACAAAAAUCAAUGUUCCAUAAAAAAUGCACAUUCAUCAUACUAAACUUGCACACAUUUUACAACAGCAAAAAAACUGGGGUUUACUGGUGGUAGAUAAAAUUAUUUGAACAAAAAUGUAUUUAAACUACAUGGAUUACUGGAGUUAGAUACACUGACGUAGCUAACUAAUUUACAAAUAUAACUAAAGGGCAACCUGGUGCAUGUAGCUCCCGCUUGCGCAGGGUCCAGGGAAGGGUCCGACCACUUUGGGUCUAUAGUACGCAGCCUUUCCCUACAUUUCUGUAAGAGGCUGUUUCCAGGACUUGAACCCAUGACCUCAUGGUCACAAGGCAGCAGCUUUACCACUGCGCCAAGGCUCCCCUUCUAAUUUACAAAUAUAACUACAACAACAAAACUAAUUCAUAAAACUCAAAAUUUGGAAAAUAAAAUUUGCAUCCUCACGAUAAAUUUGCACACACUAUAUGAGAGCAAACAAAUCACAAAAACCUUGCAAAGAAUCCAAUACUAAAAUUAAAUGUGUGCAAAAAUAAUAUCCUAGUUUGAGGUUUACUGCAUGUAUAAACAUUGAAUUCAACAAAAGGAAUUACAUUAACUACACAACACCUAGAUGAAUUGACAAAAAUAUAAAAUCAUUAAACUACUAAAACUAAAAAAUUUGCAACCUCAUACAAGGGGAUAAGAAAACUAAAGAAUGUAAAUGGAUAAGAAACUCACCAUCCUCCUAAAGCAAUAUUCAUCAAGGACGACAUCGAAAACUUCAGGGACUUCAUCGGCUGGCACAAACAGAAAGCAUGGAUCAUCAGGACAAAGACAAACAGGGCAAACCAUACCUACACUAAAAAAACAUAGGGUUAUUCUACAUGGAUAACUUAAAAAAAGAUCUAAAAUGAACAAGCUCCCUAAAAAAAUUAAAUCUAAACAACUUGCAUCUCCAAGCAACUAGACUUGCAUAAACUAUUCAGAUAUUAAUGGGGAACCAUACAUAAACUAGACUUGCAUAAACUAUUCAGAUAUUAAUGGGGAACCAUACAUAAACUAGACUUGCAUAAACUAUUCAGAUAUCAAAGGGGGAGGGGGAGCAUUGUGGUUACAAACUGUAACCUGCAUUUGACUUAACGAAUGAACAUACUAACCAUUCUGCAAAUUUCCCUAAAAAAUAUAACAUUUACUUAAUAACCCUAAAAAAUUGACUACCAAGCUCAAACACUAGGGGUGCAAGGCAGCACCCUGAGCCAUUCUGCUCCGAAUUGAAGAUGAUGCAGGCUCAGAUGUAGCCAGCCUGAUGUGGUUCUAGCUUAAUUUCGGCUAACUCAACACUAUGGCAGACUCUGAAAAGACACCACUCCACACCCAUAUUAAGAUUAAUGAGUUCUAAAUCAACAAAAGAACAUAUAUCACCCACAAAAAAAGAACAUAUAUAAAACCUAGAAGCACAUGACCUUCAAUCUGCAUCAGAAAAUAACAAAUGUACACAAAAAAGGUAGGAUCUUUGAAGAGGUAGAAGACUCGCUCCACAUCUAAAAGAUCCCUAAAACUAGGUACUCGCACUACCACCAAACAAACAAAAAAUAUAGCAAACCUGAAGACUACAAAACCACCUACAGAAGCAUCAAAUCAAAAACACGUACGAUUUGAAUCCAACCUAAACAAUAGAAAAAACCCUAAUUAAAUCACAAUAUAACAAAGAACCCUAGAAAACUACUCUCACUGCCACCGUAAACAUUACAGUAAUGAGAUCAAGCAAAAGAAAAAACCUAGAGGAAGAAGUAUAAGCAGAAGCAGCAGAUCUAGCAAGAACAUCCACAAACCCUGGCUCUCGCAGGCGCAGCAAUACACACUGCGCAAAAAAUUACAACAGAGAAAUUAAGUAAAAGAAAAUACCUGAAGAAGGGGAUAGAUGCAGCAAACUAAUCCCUCUGCCAAGAAUCCCCUGAUUCCCAAAUCCUGUGAACAGAAAAAAGCACAAAAAAGCACCUUAUAAAAGCAUAAGAACAACCACAGGGAUAAGAAUAAGGAGAGGGAGCAGAUCUAGCAAGAACAUCCAUUAACCCCAACUAUCGGCAGGGAGAGGAGAAGACACACUGGACUGAAGCAGAGGCGCAAGUACUGAUAGGAAGCGAGGGGGAAGGGGAUAAGACGAGGAGAGCAGCGACGGUCGGCGUUCCAGAAGACGGGUUGGGCCUCUUAACGGGCACAAACGGGUGCCCCGCGUCGGCAACGAGCCCAGGAAAAAGCGAUUCGACUGAACAAAACAAAGGGUCAGUCGAUAACACUCGGCCCAACUCAGCAAACAGAAGCAACCCGGGAAAAAAAAACCAGCAUGCAUCUUAGCGCAACAUCCGACGGUCAAAAAAUCGACUGACGUGAAACUGAAAAAUCAGCUGACUGAAAUGCAGCUACAUCGCUUGGCAUAAGGGGCAUUGUCCAGUCGUCUUGAUGUGUUGACUUGCUAAAAUACCCAAGCACCGAACAAUGGCAUGAAGCGUCCACGUUAAUUUUCAGAAUCCGCUCGGCCGACAAGGCACACCAUCCUUUUCUCAUCAACGAGUCUCCCAUGUAGUAGUGUUUGUGACAUGGUACAGAGAGGUAUCCUGGGUUUUAAUUCAAAAAAAAAAGAGGUAUCCUGGGACUACUGGCGCAAGGGGUGUGUGCUCCACUGCUCCAUGUCGAUGAGCUUGGAACCGUCUCCUUGCCACCGCAUCCUGCAGCUAGAACCGAACCAUUGCCACCCAAGCACCUGCAACCAUCUUCUGAAGAUGAAAUAUUGCCUCUAAGCCACCUGGACGAGUAUUUAACAAAAAACUACCACAUUUCAUGAAACCGUGCCUAUAAACUACCAUUUUAUAAAUUUGUGCCAAAAACUAUCACUUUUUGUUUAAUCUUUGACUAAAAACUAUCAUGUCGGGAAAGUGCCCGAUUCGCCUCUUCUAAACACCUUUCUGACACCUGUCAGCACCAAUCUUCUCCCUCCUCUUUCUAGCAUUUCCUCGAACACCUCAUGUGCACUCCUUCGCUCUGCCGCUCUGCCCCCGCCGGCUGGCGAGCCCUGCCACCUGCGUCGCCCUCCUUCCUAGCCGAGCCGCCUGCUAGUGUACAAGGUACAUACAGUCUUUCUUUUUCAUACAGUCGAUCUUUUUUCGUGUACAAGGUAAAUACUCAUGGAGAUGCCACGGGUGCGUCUCGCUCUUGUUGUUGAGCGCGUCGGAGUAUUGCAGCACCACGUCCACGACGGAGCCGAGCGCCAGCCGGUACACCGGGCUGCCCACGGUCCUGUUCGUCGGCGCCGGCUCGGAGAUGUCGUGGCUCAUGUUGUCGUACAUGUCGGGCGGGGGACGCUGUUCGUACGCGUCUUUCAUGCCGCGCUUCAUCGCCAGCAGGUAUGGCGUGGCCGGGAACAUGAGGGAGAGGGACAUGCCAUUGAUGGUCCACUUGAUGUGGCCAUCAAUCCUGUUCUGGGUGUUGAGGAGGAGCAGCAUGCGGUCGGCCCUCGCCGGCAUGGGCACGACGUGGCCUGGGUGCGCGAUGAUGGCCUUGCUCUGCUCCACCCUGAUCACCUUGUUGUUCCAUGCCGGGCCAGCCGGUGGCGUCGUGGGCGGACGCAUCCACGGGUUGUUUCCGUUGAAGGCGUAGCUCACGACGGCGGGCGGAGCCAGAAAAUUUAGCCAAUGGGUUCAUUAGUUAGCUCAUUCCGAGGAUUGGGUAAAGCCAUUGUAACAAAUAGAAAUAUGAUACUCCGUAUCAACUAUUACAUAUAGUACUUUACAUUAAAAACUGAGGAUUGGUUGAAAUUAUAAAACCACUUGUUUAAAUUUUGUAAAUGGAGUUACCAAAAUAACUCUCUAGCAUUGGGACCAACUUCUCACCUUCGAAAGAAGAUAAAGAAAAACGCAUUUGUUUGACAAGUUUCACGUAAAGUACCAUGAAGCGAAAGAUGCAUGUAAAUUCACUCACAUUUCAGAGUGUACCGUUUCGAUCUUUCAUCAUCUGAAAAAAAUAGUUUAUCUAUGCAUAAAAGGCUUUGGGAGAUCAUAUAAAUUAAUUUCUCUGAAUAGCUAUCAGCGACAUUUAACGCAUCUACAUCUAGUGGGUAGGCUUGAAGUCCCUAUACAUCAUUAUCCGAAUCUGAUGAUCGAUUUCUAUUUGAUAAAUAUCACACAAUAGCCUAGUUAGGUCAAUCUCAAAGUUCAGAGGAAAUACAGAGCAUAAUUGGUUUGAUGCCAAAAAUUGGCAUGCCAAAUAUUGGCUAGAGGUUGAUUGCUUGCCAAUUCUCGUUCUCAAUCUCACAAAAAGUUAGCAAAUGUUGACAACUUUUGAUUUUGCCAAAUAUUAGCUUGCCAAAUAUUGACAAUGCCAAAUGUUGGUAGCAAAUCAAUUAUGCUCAUAAUUACAAAACUAAGGCAAAGGUUAAUUUCGUGCUAGGAUACAAGACCUGCACAAGAAGGACGAUCUGAUCUCAUUACUUUAGUUUGGACUUCAAUUGCCAGCCGCUGCCGACGGCCGACCUGUUGUUGUCAGCUGCUCGGCUUGCCUCUGGGCUCUGGCCUUUGGCGAUCCCGAUCCGCCGCCGCCAUGGGCGAACAUAGAGGGGAGGCGAGGAAGAUGUUAAUCGGAAAACAUACUGGGAAAACGAGAGGCGUGUCGUGUGUUGCGUACAUGAGGUAGCCCGUCAAGCCUGCUUCGUGGAUGGUACACAUUUACUCAUGGGCUUUUUUUUUGUUUCUAUAAGGAAAACAGUUGUGAGCUUCUGGUUAGGCUAUUGUUAUAAUAAUAAAACAUUAAUGGGCUUAGAGGCUUCUCGCUCGCGUGUUCCAGGUUUGAUGGGUUCAACUAUACGUUUGUAUUGGGUUCAUACACGCGACCGCAUCUAUAAAUGUACAUUUACCUCAAAAAAAAUCUAUAAAUGUACAUCGCUGGAACAGAUAGUUGGGUUCAGAUGAACCCAACGCCUAGACGCUGGCUCCGCCGCUGCUUGCCGGUCGGCGUCUGGCUGGGGUUGCGGCCAACGACGUGGGACGCAGCCCAGUAGUUUCGCCGCGGGUCCUGGUCGGCCUUGACCAGCACGGAGUAUGUCUCGCCAGAGUAGAUGAAGAGGCCCCUCACGGCGAACGGCCGCACGUAGUGCCGUCGGCCUCCACGACCAUCAUCGGGUGGCCCUCGAUCUCGAAGUAGAGCGAGGAGAUCGAGGUGAGGCUGCGGAUGCAGAGGUAUGUCUUCCCCGGCACGGCGGCGAAGAGAGCCGGCAGAGCGCAGUCGGGGCGGGAGGCGUUGCACGUUUCACUGGGAGCGAGCGAGCAAUUGAACAUUCCUCUGCCGUUGAUGAGAGGAGACUGGGCUCGGCGACAAAGACGAAGGGGUUGGAGGAGAGGCCCGUGGCCUGUUUGUAGACGCUCUUGUGCCACCAGUCGCCGAGGAGGACGGUGUGCUCCUCGGCUAGGAGGGAGGGCGGCGCAGGUGGCGGGCUUGCCAACCGGCGGGGGCAGAGCGGCAGAGCGAAGGAGUGCACAUGAGGUGUUCGAGGAAAUGACAGAGAGAGAGGAGGAAGAAGAUUGAUGCUGACAGGUGGGCCCAUCCUGUCAGAAAGGUGUUUAGAAGAGGCGAAUCGGGCACUUUCCCGACAUGGUAGUUUUUGUCAAAGAUUAGACAAAAAGUGGUUGUUUUCGGCACAAAUUUAUAAAGUAAUAGUUUGUAGGCAUGGUUCCAUGAAAUGUGGUAGUUUUUCUGUUAAAUACUCCACAUGGAAACAUCAUGUCCCAUCCUGUGUGGCGAGGACUUCGUUUGCCUCUUCUCCAAGAGGGACGAUGGCGAUCAUGAUGCCUGGAUUGUCACUGUUGACAUGAGGAAGAAAGCAGUGAGAAGGAUGCUGCCAUGUUAUGACGAGCAUCCAACCAUGGUUUUGAAUCCAGACUACAUAUCCUGUGGGCUGAAAAAAUAUCUUACGAGUGAAUCAGAUGGAGGUGGUUCACUCACGGAAGAUACUCGUUCUCAUGGCAAACGUCGUCGUUCGUUUCUCGAAGACCCGAUGUUGAGGGGUUCAACGUUGGAAGAGAGCAAACAAAAUGGUUGAGUCAUGCCCUCCGCCAUAAAAGCAUUCAUCUGAAGCAUUCAUUGUUUGAGUUGGAUGUUAAUUAGUCAGUUAUAUGGUUUAAGAUCUAUCGUACUUCGGUGGUGUAACUUUGCACUGAAAUUGCAUUUUUUUAAAUCUAAAUAUGUGAAGGAUAAGCAUAUAAUUGUGUGCCUUUCGAACUCUAUUAUUCUCUCCGUCCUAAAAUAAGUGUCGCGGACUUAGUACGAUUUUGUAUUAACGUUGAACUAAGUUUGCACUUAUUUUGGAACAAAGGGAAUAUAACUUACAUGCAUAUUGUAUAGCUCUUGUGUGUAUACUUACACAUAUAAAAAUAGAAAUUGAUAUUUGCAAAGGGAAGAGUGAAUUAGUGACGUUGGUAUUACCCUUAAGAAGAAAGAAACUAAAAUAAAACUAAAACAAAAUAACAAAAUUGAUUUUUUCUAAGGAAUCAUGAAUUGGUGGCAUUGCAUUACACUUUAAGAAGAAAGAAAAAUAAGAAAGUUGAAGCAAAUAAUAAUAGAAUUUGCACAUAAUCUACACAUAAUUUUUGUUUUUUAUAAACAUAUAUUAGUAGAUUUUCUGAAAAAAGAAGUUUCCUAAGGAGUGAAUUUGUCGCAUUGUAUUGCCCCUAUAGAAGAAAUAAAAUAAAAUAAAAACUAAAAAAAUCAAAAAAUAAAACUUCAUAAGAAAGAUUGAAUUAGUGAAUUUACACUCCAAAAUAUUUUAUAUACAUCUGUAUGUAGUUCGUAUUGAAAUCGUUAAAAGGGCUUAUUUUAGAAACAGAGGGAGUACAUUUUGAGAACAAAGAAAAAAACAUUAAAAGGGAUAUUAUUGAACGGAAUUCCUGGCUCUACCUAUAGCUAAAGUGGUUUAAUUGCUACCAAGUCAGCAUACAGAUUUUUUUUUUAAACAAGUCAGCAUGCAGAUUUCAUGUCAAGUAAGAAUUCACACGCCAAGAUCUUUUGACAGAACCGCCAUUUGUAAUUAUCGCCUUAUACCGAUCGAGCCGGUAAUCUUCAAUCAAUGAAAUCUCAAUCAGUUUAGAAUCCCCAGAUCUCAUCACCUCUAGAUCCACGAUGAACCGCCGCCACCGCGCCGCCUCCAGUUCCGAUCGUCACGACCACGUCCUCCUCUUCACGCACGGGCACAGCGAACUGGCCGAAGACAACAGCACCACCGCGUACACCUUCACGGAAGCAACGAAGACCAUGAAGGUGACCGUCUCGAUCGCCGACCUGCCGUCGAUCUCCUACUUCCACGUCAGCUGCCCCGACCUCCAAGACAGCCCCUUCAGACAGAGGUCGGAGAUCCUCUGGUCGUCGGAGGACCUCGUCCUCUUCACGGUCUUCCUCGCCCAUCCCGCUCCAAUGGAGUACUUCAUCUACAGGGCCGGGCGCGAGCCGUCGCUCGAUCUGCUAUCUGGCGCUGGAGAGUAUUUCAUGAGGGAGAAGGUAGAUCCAUCCCAACUCGCCGUCGUCCCCGACGGCGCCGGCGGGAACUUCGUCCUCGCCGCCUUCGACUGGGACUGGCUGUCGGCGCGGUGCUACCUCCACGUCUUCAGGUCCAAGCGCCGUUCCUGGGCCAAGGAGCACCUCGCCCCAGAUUUUCCAUCCUGGAUGUUCACCAACCGUCCGGGGUUUUGCCCCCAGAAUGUGAUCGUGGUACGCGGAGGAGCGCUGGGCUACGUCGACCUCUGGAAGGGGAUCCUGCUCUGCAACGUACUCGAGGAGCCGGUGACGACGCGCUUCAUCCCGUUGCCCAACCCGCUGCCCGGCAACCGGAGAGGCUACAACAAUGGGAUGUCGGAACGGGCGUCGUGGGUACGGUUGAUACGCGACGUCGCCUGCACAGACGGCCUGACGAUCACAUGCGUCGAGAUGGAAGACCUAUACCGUUUCGUAGCGAGAACACCUGACGGCGAUGUGCUCCAUGACUCCGACAUUGAUCCGUCCGAGGAGGCGGGGGAACGCAGAUGGGUUGGCUGGAGGCUCGUGGCAUGGCAUAGGGAGGUCUCCUGGGACUACUGGCGCAAGGGGUGUGUGCUCCAUGUCGAUGAACUUGGAACCGUCUCCUUGCCCCGUCAUCCUGCUAGAACCGAGCCAUUGCCACCCAACGGCCGGAAGCCGUCAUCAUCAUCAUCUCGACCUACAAAAUUGCCUCUAAGCCACGUGCUGGUAUUCUGUCCCAUCCUGUGUGGUGAGGGUGUCGUUUGCUUCCUCUCCAAGAGGGACAGCUACCGCGAUCAUCGUGCAUGGAUCAUCACUGUUGACAUGAGGAAGAAAGCUGUGAGAGGAUUGACGCCGUACUAUGACGAGACACCCAUGACUUUCAAUCUAACCUACUUAUCCUGCGCGCUGAAGAAAUAUCUCAAGAGUGAAUCAGAUGGAGGUCGUUCUCUUGUUGUGGAAGAUACUCGUCCUCAUGGCAAACGCCAUCGGUUGUCCCUGGAAAACACUAGUAGUCACAGUUCCCAGCCAAAGAGGACUUUGAGAGGCUCGACAAUGGAACAGAGAAAACGAUAUGGUUGAGUCAUCCUGUCCGAGUCCGACACAGAAGAGACACCAUAUAUUAGUAGCUCAUACAAUCCUUGGCCGCCCAAAUCUUAAAAUGAAAUGUAAUCCUCUUCAUUCAUCUGAAGCAAUUGAUAUUUUAAGUUAGCAUCUGAAGCAAUUGAUAAUUUAAGUUAGAUUUGAGUGAGUUAUAUAGUUUAAAACACAUAGUACUUGUUCGGUGGUGUAAUACUAUUUCCUAAUGCAUUUUGUGCGUUCUUGUUGUUCAUCAUGCCAUGCUUGCGUUUAAAAGUAUAUCUUUCCUAUGGUGUAGUAGCAUCCCAUAUGUUGCACGCAAUUCAUCUAGACAAAUACUACAUAGCCAAUAUUCCAUAUAUUUUUUUGUCAUAUUUCACUUAGUUGGAAACUUAGAAUAACAACAAACACUCCUUCACCGUUGUCAGGGCCUAGAAUAUGAAGUGAUCUGGGCUGGGUCACAAUCAUUGAGCAAGGGAGAAUAGUUUCAGAAGGACAGUUUAUGGUCAAUUUUUAUCUCUCCGACAGUAUGAGGUAACACAAUCAUCAUUUCAGCUUGAGACUUACUUUCAUGUCUAUGUUUCCAAGUGAUGAAAAAGUUGUUGAAAAUCAUUUAGCUUUAAUAUUAAUGUCAUAUUUAUAGUGCUUUUAGUGAACUGGCUUGUGCAAAAAUUAUGUCACAAAACAUCAUAAAACCAUCGUUUACAUUGUGUAGUUUGCAGUUUUUUUCUGAACCACACUUUGUCCAUUGAAGCUCAAGGCCCAUGAUUUCAUCUAGAACUGCUAUAAAUUACAUUAUGCUCUACCAAAAUGUUUCCAUUCUCAUUUUAAUAAAAAAUCGAGGAGAUUCCAAUGUCUCCUGAUCGUUGAGCUCUGCUGGUUAUUGAUCACUUUGGUGUUCCUUUUUUAUCUAUACAACUUUGAUGGUACAGCCAGUGCUUAUGUGUCUACUUCAUUUCCAGUCAUGUAAUUCACUUCACACCCAGGUGUGUGUUGUAACAAAUUCUCCUCUCCUUCCUUAAUAUAUAAGGCAAAUCUUUUGCCUCCGUUUCAAAAAAAAAAAAAAAAACCUGGAGAGGAACUCUAGUAGAGUCGCCAUCGCCAUGGGGGGAUUGAACUCACCACCUCAGCCUUCAAAUUUCUAGCUACCAAUGCGACACUAGCGAAUUUCUAGCUAAUAUGAGUACGAUACAUAUCUAUACACAAAUAAUUUGAAUUCGAAAUUCAUUUGAAAACUUUGAUGCACUCGGUAUUUUUCGGUAACUGUGUUUCUCGCCUUCCAGCAUUAUUUUCCUUGAUUCGGUAGGCAAAAUAUUGGUUGGCGGUGACGGUGAACCGCAACGGAGCAUACAGUUCGCGCGGGGAGGAGGAAACUCUUCUUGGGUGGAGUGGAGCAUAGAGCUUGAGCAGAUGAGAGAUGGAAACACAUUCGAUGGAUACAGAUCGCUCGCUGAAAUCAGCAUGCCGACAGCUAGUGCGAAUAAUAUGUAAUCACAAUUUUGGCUAAAAGUGAAGCACGAUGUACAGAUGAGAAAAGAGAUUCUCCCGUGAAUGUCUUAGCCAUCCACUUGUUUGGACAUCCGCAUGCAUGCAUGCUUAUCUUUUUUAUCUGCAUGGCUUAGCCAUUAAUUAAUUUUAGAGGACCCACGCGUGCACGCUUUUGUCAGAGUUGCAUGCGCCAUCCAUCCCACCUCCCUUGUCUUUUUCUUUAUUUCAUCUUUUAAUUUUAAUUUACUAUAUCUUUUGAAACCAAAAUUCAAAUUAAGUUUCACAUAUUUGUGUUCGUCACGAUGAGAACUUUCUAACGAGACCAAAUCUAAGUUUCAACUAUUGAAACUUGAUUUUUCGAUAAAGGAAUAUAUUAAUAUCGCGAAUAUAUCAAUUACACCCAGUCUCUGCACCAACAAGAUAUCGGAGACAUCAAGGAUGCACACAACCAAGAACAAAAAUAAAAAAGAGAAAAAAAAAUAAAAACAAAGACCCCAUCGCAGUGAUGAAACACUCGCAACAGCAACACUCUAAACAUUACCAAAGUCAACACCCGGACGACAGAAGUGGUUCUCCAAAAGCGACGCCUUCAAGAAGGAAACAAUGCACAAGCGUUGUCGUCGCCCGAUCAAAGGAUCUUGAGUCUUCAUCCUGGCGAGAGUCCGAGAUCCUAAAAACAAUGCCUUCGCAAGACCAUUGCCAGGUACAACCAAUGAAGGCCAUACCUUGGAUUUUUCACCCUGGAGAUCGCGGCUCGGUACUCGAGAAGCAAACCAAAAAAUGUUGUCCACCUGUGUUGCCGCCCCCUCCUGCCAAGGCCGCCGUUGCAAGUGCUCAACACCCAACACACGGGAAAACAAACAUGUGCCACCAUUCUUCAGCGCAACCAAAACUCCUCUCCGCCAUUACAAGUCUCUGAUCGCAUCCAUCAUGACUUUCUUCACCAUUGUCAACGCCGUGGAAAUCUAUACUUAGACAUUUUCCAUGGCACCGGCAAGACAGCGAAGCUUCACGCCAUGCCCUCAUAAAGCAUCUCUGGCUGAAGGUGAGGGCGCGCCUGACCAAAUCAAUUCCAAUCUAGAUAUUGAGUGACGCCGUGCGCCACAAGCUGAGAUCUCCGAUAGUCGUAACAUUAAUUUUUACCAAGUUUUACCAACGUUUUUUGGGUUUAGGGAUCUAGGCUAGGGCUUAGGGCUUAGGGCUUAGUGUUUAGGGACUAGGGUUUAGGGUGCAAGUUUUAGUUUUGAAAAUUGCUAAAUUUAUAAUUGUUUCUAAUUUAUAAUUGUUUCUAUUGAGUUUUAGUAGUUGAAAUUUUUCUCGACCACCCGAUUUACCUCGUUGGAUUUCGCACGAGUCCACGCCAAGUUUAAAGUUUCAGUUUCUGAAACUUGCGACUUUCUGUUCGCGUGUACCAAGUUUCAACAAUUGAAACUUAAUGAUUUAAAAACCCGUCAAAACAUAUGCAAAAUUGGUUUUAUUUGAAAGUCUUCGUCACAAGCAACACAAAUUUGAAAAUCAAAAUUAAAUUGGACUGUGGUUCAAAAUAUAUAGAAGACUGAAAAUUGAGCGUCAAAAGAAAAUGGAUGGGAGAUGGGAUGGGUGAAGCUGCAAAAGGCCGCGUACCUGUGCCCGUCCAAGUGAUCUAUGCACGGGACCUCCGGUGCGCGCGAGAAGAAAAUCCAAUCUCAUAUACAGACUGCUCUUGCUGCACGAGGCCAUGCUUGAAUACCUGAAAACCACGAUGUUAAUCAGCCAACCGUCAUUAGCUAGCGGUUGGGUGAUCGAGGGUAUAAAUACCCCGAUCUUCAGGCAAUGAAAUUAGUUCAUCCUCGAUCAAUUAUUUUACACUUACCAGAACCCAUAGAUCGCGAGAGACACCCCAGAAGCCACGAUGAACCGAAGCCACGCCGGCACCAGCUCCGGCUCCGUCGGCCGUCCCGACUACGUCCUCCUCUCCACGUAUGGGCACAGCGAACUGGCCGAAGACAACAGCACCA
This 13785-nucleotide long non-coding RNA is filed under the name Triticum aestivum (bread wheat). RNAcentral describes it as "long non-coding RNA (TAES_LNC016709)". Lineage: Eukaryota; Viridiplantae; Streptophyta; Magnoliopsida; Poales; Poaceae. The record is from RNAcentral.